AGGGACCAUGAAGGGAUGUGGAGAGUGAAGAUUUGUCCGCUACUGGCCAGCUAUCAGCUACUCACGCUACUUCAGAAUUCUGCACUCUGACUUUCACGAGCAUAGUGUGCUGUGUUUCCUAUUUAGACACUCAGUGCACCAGGACUGUAUGUUGAAGUCUACCAUCUGACCGACUCUCAUCUCUGCUAACGUUUGCCUUAUACAUGUUGAGGUGAUGUUAACUGAUGCAGGAACGUGUAGAAUUCUAUCUCCCUGUUGGGUUUACUCUGGCAA
Molecule: long non-coding RNA, 273 nt
Organism: Mus musculus (house mouse)
Lineage: Eukaryota; Metazoa; Chordata; Mammalia; Rodentia; Muridae
Product: predicted gene, 33174
Exons: 3
Source: RefSeq, marked validated